Molecule: long non-coding RNA, 326 nt
Filed under: Homo sapiens (human)
Lineage: Eukaryota; Metazoa; Chordata; Mammalia; Primates; Hominidae
Description: non-protein coding lnc-MFSD8-10:1
Source: RNAcentral
GUUUAUUUUUGUGUUCUCUAUUCUGUUCUGUUGAUCUAUAUGUGUGUCUUUAUGUCAGUGAGAUACUGUUUUGAUUACUGUAGAUUUGUAAUAUAUUUUGAAAUCAGGAAGUGUGAUUUUAUGCUUUUAUAUGCUUUCAUACUGCUGUUUAUAUCCUUUCUUUUUUUAUCUUUUCUUUUUUUUCCCAGAUGAGGAAUCAUUUUUAAUAAGUUACCAAACUGUAUAGUACUAUGGCUUUUUUCCUUUUUCUUUUCUUAACUUUUAUUUUAGGUUUGGGGGUUUCUCUUGUUUCUUUUACAUUGUUUGUCUUGACUUUUGAGGAUUUG